AAACAUGAUUAUCUCGGUGCAGAAAGGUUUUUCAGCCUUGCCGAGAUGCACAGUAAUGAGAUAGAUAAAUUCGGGAUACUGGAUUUAUUGAUUCUUUCAUCAGCGGGUGAUCCUGGUGGGAAGAUGGAAACCAUCAACAACGCUGUGCAGUGUAUCAUCAUAGAGAAACCAAAAGCAGAAUCCUUGUGGUCAGCGUACAAUAGACGCCUGCGGUGUAGGAAUAAUCCAUUGAUGUGAGUGGUGUGAGAGACUACGGACUAAAUGGAAAUCUCAAUAAGCUGAUUUGCCUUGAACUGGAGAAAUCUGGGUAUAACACAAGAAAUUUGUUAAAGUAGCGGUAUGGCAGAAUUGAAAAUUUUGAUCGAAAGUAUAAGAGAAACUAUCGAAAAACAUUUAAUCUGAAAGAACCGUGAAAUUUACAGGUGAAAUCCUGUAUGUGCUUUGACCGCGGUAAGAAGCCAAGGGUCGCUCCCAAAAGCUCAGACUUAUCGUCACAUUGGCUGAAUAUGGUUGCAUCUAUGGUGGAUAAGGGGAAGCCCUAAUCAUGUUUGUAU
RNAcentral lists this small RNA (554 nucleotides) under human gut metagenome. Its description in RNAcentral is "ROOL RNA". It matches the Rfam family "ROOL RNA". Rfam says of the family: Firmicutes, Fusobacteria (1 example), Tenericutes (1 example). Environment (Cow rumen (57)) The record is from RNAcentral.